UACGUAGGGUGCAAGCGUUAAUCGGAAUUACUGGGCGUAAAGCGUGCGCAGGCGGCUUUGCAAGACAGAUGUGAAAUCCCCGGGCUUAACCUGGGAACUGCAUUUGUGACUGCAUGGCUGGAGUGCGGCAGAGGGGGAUGGAAUUCCAGGUGUAGCGGUGAAAUGCGUAGAUAUCUGGAGGAACACCCGUGGCGAAGGCGGCUCUCUGGGACGGUACUGACGCUGAGACGCGAAAGCGUGGGGAGCGAACAGG
Molecule: ribosomal RNA, 253 nt
Filed under: uncultured bacterium
Lineage: Bacteria
Description: partial 16S ribosomal RNA
Rfam family: Bacterial small subunit ribosomal RNA
Source: RNAcentral